RNAcentral lists this ribosomal RNA (690 nucleotides) under Sphingobium chungbukense. RNAcentral describes it as "bacterial SSU rRNA". It matches the Rfam family "Bacterial small subunit ribosomal RNA", at positions 23 to 734 of the family's 1533-position model. Lineage: Bacteria; Pseudomonadati; Pseudomonadota; Alphaproteobacteria; Sphingomonadales; Sphingobiaceae. The record is from RNAcentral.
CUCAGAACGAACGCUGGCGGCAUGCCUAAUACAUGCAAGUCGAACGAGACCCCUGACUUCGGUUGGCGGGUCUAGUGGCGCACGGGUGCGUAACGCGUGGGAAUCUGCCCUUGGGUUCGGAAUAACGUUUGGAAACGAACGCUAAUACCGGAUGAUGACGCCAAAGAGAUUUGGAGUCCAAAGAUUUAUCGCCCAAGGAUGAGCCCGCGUAGGAUUAGCUAGUUGGUGGGGUAAAGGCCCACCAAGGCGACGAUCCUUAGCUGGUCUGAGAGGAUGAUCAGCCACACUGGGACUGAGACACGGCCCAGACUCCUACGGGAGGCAGCAGUAGGGAAUAUUGGACAAUGGGGGCAACCCUGAUCCAGCAAUGCCGCGUGAGUGAUGAAGGCCUUAGGGUUGUAAAGCUCUUUUACCCGGGAUGAUAAUGACAGUACCGGGAGAAUAAGCCCCGGCUAACUCCGUGCCAGCAGCCGCGGUAAUACGGAGGGGGCUAGCGUUGUUCGGAAUUACUGGGCGUAAAGCGCACGUAGGCGGCGAUUUAAGUCAGGGGUGAAAGCCCAGUGCUCAACACUGGAACUGCCCUUGAGACUGGAUUGCUUGAAUCACGGAGAGGUGGGUGGAAUUCCGAGUGUAGAGGUGAAAUUCGUAGAUAUUCGGAAGAACACCAGUGGCGAAGGCGGCCCACUGGAC